Molecule: ribosomal RNA, 497 nt
Filed under: uncultured bacterium
Lineage: Bacteria
Description: partial 16S ribosomal RNA
Rfam family: Bacterial small subunit ribosomal RNA
Source: RNAcentral
GAUGAACGCUGGCGGCGUGCCUAAUACAUGCAAGUCGAGCGAACAGACGAGGAGCUUGCUCCUCUGACGUUAGCGGCGGACGGGUGAGUAACACGUGGAUAACCUACCUAUAAGACUGGGAUAACUUCGGGAAACCGGAGCUAAUACCGGAUAAUAUAUUGAACCGCAUGGUUCAAUAGUGAAAGACGGUUUUGCUGUCACUUAUAGAUGGAUCCGCGCCGCAUUAGCUAGUUGGUAAGGUAACGGCUUACCAAGGCAACGAUGCGUAGCCGACCUGAGAGAGGGAUCGGCCACACUGGAACUGAGACACGGUCCAGACUCCUACGGGAGGCAGCAGUAGGGAAUCGUCCGCAAUGGGCGAAAGCUUGACGGAGCAACGCCGCGUGAGUGAUGAAGGUCUUCGGAUCGUAAAGCUCUGUUAUUAGGGAAGAACAAAUGUGUAAGUAACUAUGCACGUCUUGACGGUACCUAAUCAGAAAGCCACGGCUAACUACGUG